AAAAUUUCAGUACUUGAGGGCUGUAGAUGAUAUUGAAUUCUGCACUAUGUUUUAGGGCUUAAUUGUGAAAAAUAAAGCUUGUUUUGGUUUUAAAGACUAAAUUGAAUGAAACGAAAAACUUUAAGGAAAUUGUGAAAAUAUUAAUAGGAUGUCAUAUACAUCAAAUUGAUUGUUAAAAAUUAAUUGGGACUAAUAAAUUGAAAUAAAUUACUGUAUAGAUCAAGAACC
Molecule: long non-coding RNA, 228 nt
Filed under: Gossypium barbadense (sea-island cotton)
Lineage: Eukaryota; Viridiplantae; Streptophyta; Magnoliopsida; Malvales; Malvaceae
Description: long non-coding RNA (GBAR_LNC016544)
Source: RNAcentral